Molecule: ribosomal RNA, 197 nt
Filed under: Zyzygomyces physciacearum
Lineage: Eukaryota; Fungi; Basidiomycota; Tremellomycetes; Filobasidiales; Filobasidiaceae
Description: Heterocephalacria physciacearum 5.8S ribosomal RNA
Rfam family: 5.8S ribosomal RNA (bases 43-196)
About the family: 5.8S ribosomal RNA (5.8S rRNA) is a component of the large subunit of the eukaryotic ribosome.
Source: RNAcentral
AACUUUAACUGUAAAAAAUGUCUAUACACAAAAACAAAAUAAAACUUUUAACAACGGAUCUCUUGGCUCUCGCAUCGAUGAAGAACGCAGCGAAAUGUGAUAAGUAAUGUGAAUUGCAGAAUUCAGUGAAUCAUCGAAUCUUUGAACGCAGAUUGCGCUCCUUGGUAUUCCGAGGAGCAUGCCUGUUUGAGUGUCAU